AUUCCGCUUUGCCUGCUGCCAGCCAGCCGUCCGUCCUUACGUCCGUCCGUCCACCGUUUGGAUCUAUGGUUGUGUCGGUGGAUUUCGUGACGUUAACCUGGCGGCCCUGAAAACGUUGGACUGACCGUACGAUUUCGACUACCCUUCGUUGGGGCGCGAAUGUAAAACGCGAGUGUUUUUUAAUCACCGUGGCCGCCGCUUAGGAAUACCACGGAGUAGUUCGGGAACACUGCCGGGCUAAUGCCGUUGCUGCCAUCACCGCCACUACUGAGGCAUACGAGAACGAAGCGGUACAUCGACAAGAAAUGUCUGAUGCUAGAUCUUGUGAAGGUUUGAAGAGGACAGACCGGAUCCAGAGUCUCUUCGAAAUGAAUAUUGUUGCUAGUGAUUGGAUCGAGAGGAAAUACGGAAAACAGAAGGAAGUGUAGCAAAAAUUUGAAGAAGCAACAGCUGUGAAUAGUAGAAGUAACUUUGAAGUGAAAAGAGUAGAUGAGAAAAGAAGAAGAACGCUGACUCUCGGUAGCUACUGUGCGACGGUCGAGCCAAGUGUGUGCGCGCGAGUGCCUCCACGGACGGGAGAAUACGUAAAAACGGUGUAUUUCUCGUUCUGCCAUCUUGAAAGUCAUCCAAUUUCUUUCUCUUGGUGGCGCUGGCUCACGUGCGCGGGAAACGUGCACAGUGCGUGCAUCGUACACGCACUGUGCUACAAUUACGGCUGAAGGAACCUCGCUUUGGGUAGAAUUGCGAAAUAACGGUCUUCGCCGAGGGUGCAACAGGAUCGUGAUGAAAGUAAGUUCGUCAACAAGUUUGCAUCAUCGUGGGACCGAUAACGAGUACUGUACCGGUAACGACAGCAGCCGUAAUAGCAACGAUACCGUCAUCGUGCGCGUUCCUAGCUGGAUAAACAGGAACCAGAAUGACUUUACCGGGAACGAGAUAUCGUGGGUGGAACAUAGUCUGCGAGUUGAGUGUAAACCACGUGGCAGUGAUGAAAUUGUGGGGCAAUCGCGAUUCUCUAAGGUGUAUCCACAGUGAUUGCUAGUGUUUGAGAAAAAGUACGCGGGAGACAGAAGGAUAGAAGCCGAGACUCUCGCGGAGAGCAGGGCAUCGAAAGAUAUGCGGACUUUUGUGCGAACAGCUGAACCGGAAGUUGUGAGAACAAGUGGAGUGCAACGCGCUCCGCCUAAUCGGUGAUAGGGUCAGUCGGCUAAAAGAAGAUCAAAAUUAGUGCUCGUAGCGACAGUAACGCGGCAUCUUUCGCGAUCACCUUCCACCCCUUCCUUUUCCUGUUUGCUUUCGUUUCGUCUCCUUUCCCUACUCCCCCCACCUCCUCAACUCACCCCCUCUUUUUCUCAAAGUACGAUAACUUGCCUGUAUAUUUUCUAUUUUAUCUUUUGUUACUUAUCGGGGGUCAACUUCGUUUCGACGGAACGUUUCUAAAUCAUAAACUGUGUCGCGUGUAAUCGAAAUGUUAGCGGUUGAAUAAUGCAAACAAGAUUUUCUCGUGUAAAAACCGUGUCGCGUUUUUUCGCAAUAGAGAAGGUAUACUGUCCCUAAAUACAUAUAUUGAGAUACUUUGUGUUCGAUGAACGUGGUACACUCGUACGAUGAUUUUAAGGAUUGUUUACGCAAAACACGUCUUACCUAUUAAUUCGAUGCAAUAUUUUCUUGCGAGAUUUCUUGAAAUUCUCCCGGAUCCUGGCAAUCAGUGCUCUUUUUUUGGUAUUCACAGCGAACGCACGAAAUGUACACACGAACGAACCGCAAUGACAUAUUAGCUGUGCGUGCUGUGUCCCUCGUAUAUCGUUCAUAUUCGAUUCUCAAGGAAGUUCAACACCUGAUACUAAUGUCAUGUUUCUCCAACUGUUAUCCGCAGAAGUCGUCCCUGAAGCAACAUCGGAAGAAAGAAAUUUGAAUGGUCGGUUAAGUUUUGUGUUUGUCGAAUGUCACGGUAUACGAGUCGUGUAGAUGAACGCAUGAAAGUGUACGUGUAAGAGGUGCGAGGGAAGCGACGAUCAACAACAUCAAGACAACGAAGAAGUGUGCAGAGGAAAAGAAAGUGCGAGCACGAGCAGUGAAGUAAGAAGGAAAUGAUAAACAAAAAGAAAGGGAUUUAAAGCAAGCCUGUGGGAACUAAAGUUCGCCGACGCAUAGUAAUGUUGUGGAGUAGCGUGUUCCGUAAAAGUUUUUAACGUCGAUAUAGAAUUUAUAAAUAGAUCGGUUGGUGUACUCACGUAUGUGUACGCGUACGUAUGUGUGCGUGAUUACGCGCGCACAUGUACGUGAUUUUCACUCGAGACUGAAGCGGUGAAUUAUUCUCGUGCGGAUCGACCACUCGUGGGAGAAAUUCGAGAUCGGCUUACCUUCCGCAGCUGACGUCAUUACCGUACACAAUGCGUUAGGGGUGAUGGAGACAGUGGGCAAGCAAGUCCAGGUAGUGAGCGGACUGGGGGUGGGGGGUCCAGUGGGCCCUGUGGGUCCAGUGGGGGCAGAUUUGCAUCACCAUCAUCAUCCUCACCCCCACUCUCAUCCUCCACACCCACACGCCCACCCCCACGGUCAUCCUCACGGGUCCCAUGGCCACUCUCUCGUCGGCGUAACGUCGACCCCCGGCAGGGGUCAGACCCAACCACCGGUCUCGCAUAACCAACAUUUACCCGCGAGAUCUACUCCAGUACAACUACACAGGUCACCGCAAAGUUACGUAAACAUCAAGAGCAGCAGUCCCGUGUCACCAAGAACAGUAGGAGCAGGCGUGACGUACGUCCAAGGUGGUGCGGCCGCGUCUUCCGCAGCAGCGGUGGCAGCGGCAGCGGCAGCUGGGACAGCUGGUAGUAACACUCCUGGAGGUCCUUCAAUCGGUGGAGGUGGUGGCAGUGGUGGCGGCGGCGGCGGUGGCGGCGGUGGCGGAGGCGGCGGUGGUGGCGGCGGCGGAAGUGUUAACAACGCUGGUGGCACGAACAGUGGAACCGGUGUCGUUGGGUCCGGAGCUGGCGUUGGGGCCGUAGGGAACGUGGCACCACCCGGAAGUGGAAAUAGUAGUGGUACCGGUAGUGGUACCAGCGCGGGAAGCAACAGUGCCGGGAGUGGUGCAGUGGGUGGUGCACCAGGAGGUUACGUUGCUGUACCUAUGGCUGGUGGUCUACGAUACAUCCAUCCGUAUCCACCGACGCCAACAUCGGCGUCGGUGCCAGCCGUAGCCACGGUGGUCACGUCGGCAUCGUCGGCGUCAACUCCCAUACCAGUGGCAGCGCCUGUAGCCCCGGCAGUGUCUGCCAAUCCACCCACAGUUAGUCAAACGUCACCACCAUCGCUUUCCGGAACUGCUUACAGCACGAGGGAUGUAUAUCGCAGCGCCACCACGAAUGUAAACGAGAGGAUCGCUAUCAACGUGAGCAGCAGUCCUCUAUCGCAGAUUGGAGUCGGUGUUGGAGUAGUUACGGCCGAAUAUGCGACGAAUAGCGGUAUAGGUAGUGGCAUGGCUGGUGGUAGAGGGGAUAGACCGAGGAUAUCUCUUCUACCGCCUGCUUCGGUGACGCCGACAGCUUCACCGACGGCCCCUUCAGAUUAUCAGCACGUGACCAGUGCGAGAAAUUCACGAAUAGGCCUCAUGCCCGUCCAACCGGAUCAGUAUUGCACUCGUACGGCCGUUGAGAUAGCCAAUCUGCAGGAGGCACCGCCCUUAAAAAAGAUGCGCUUGGCCCAACCAACGCAGGUUCAGUUACAGUCCCAAUCGCAAUCUCGCUGUCAAAGCCUAUCGCCCGCUGACCCCUGUGGUAAACAAGAGCACGUGGUACAGUUGCAGCAGCCACUCAGGAUAGACACUAGGGGGCAGCCCGCUGCGUAUACGCCGCAAACAGAAGCUAUUUCACCUACGCUUCCGGAACCGAACACGCAGGAGGACGCGCAGUUUAGAAGUACCAAGGACGAUCUUCUGCAGCAGAUCGCCAAGGUCGACAGAGAGAUUGCGAAAAGAGAGUCUCAGAUAAAUAAGCUUCGGAAAAAGUUGAAGGAAUUAGAAGAGGCAGCGAACAAACCUCUAGAAGCCAGUGGUCUUAAACGGCAGGUUGAGGAACAAUCGCAGCAACCGAAGCAUCAGUCUCUUGCACAAAAGAUUUAUGCUGAAAAUAGGAGAAAAGCUGAAGAAGCUCAUAGACUCCUAGAGAGGCUGGGUGCAAAAGUGGAGCUACCUUUGUACAAUCAACCGUCGGAUACAAGUGUGUACCAAGAAAAUCGUACGAAGCAUCAAACGUGUAUGAGAGCUAAGCUUAUAGCGAGGCUUCGUCGGGAACACGCCGAACGAGCGUCUCUUCAUCGACAACAGUCUCGAACGUACGCCAUUUUGGUACAGGAGUGGCAUCGUAAGAUAGAACGAUUAGAGGCAACACAGAAAAGGAAAUCGAAGGAAGCGAAAAAUCGUGAGUUCUUCGAGAAAGUGUUUCCUGAGUUGCGGAAACAGAGGGAAGACAAGGAACGUUUUAAUAGAGUCGGUGCCCGUAUUAAGAGUGAAGCUGAUCUAGAGGAAAUUAUGGACGGCCUUCAAGAGCAAGAGAUGGAAGAUAAAAAAAUGCGUUCAUACGCAGUGAUACCUCCGUUGUUAUUGGAUACGAAACAGAGACGAAUCGCGUUUCAGAAUCGAAACGGUCUGCUUCAGCCAGAAGAAUUAGAAGCACUUCACAGUGAACGGAAGUUAAUUAACGUUUGGAGUUCUGUGGAACACGAAUUGUUUAAAGAAAAAUAUUUACAACAUCCUAAGAACUUUGGAACGAUAGCUCAAUCUUUAGAACAUAAGUCCGUUCCAGAUUGCGUGCAUCAUUACUACCUCACUAAAAAAGCAGAAAAUUAUAAGCAGCUAUUGCGAAAGUCGCGGCAACGAACACGUAGCUCUCGGAACAAUCCUAAUAAUAAAGUAAAUAAUACCAGUUCAAGUAUUGGACCUAUAGACAUCCUAACUACGGGUGUUACGACGAGGCUGCAGCGCGAGCAGCAACAGAAAACGCAAGAAAAUCCUCAGAAUAAUUCAACGGCGGCGUCGACUACGACGACGACCACUACCACCUCGACACCAUCGAAUGUGUCAGCGUCCGUUACGUCAACGAUAGCGACCACGUCAGCGACUUCCCUGAGCUCGUCGGCAACGUCGAGUACAUGUUUAACGACAGAAUCCGUAAUAACAUCAACGGCAGCAGUAACGACCUCGAUAUUGAGUACCACGACGGCGUGCGUCACUUCGUCGAUCACAUCUAGUGCGAAGGAUAACCGGGAAACUAACAAAGAAAACAAAGAAAUUAAAUUGGAGCCCAAGGAGUCGAAUCUCAUCAAAGUGGAGGUGAAGGAAGAGCCGCAGUUGAGUUCUGAAACGAUGUCAGGAAAAGAUGUUAAAGUGAUAAUUGACGGGAAGAGCACGUUAUCGUCGUCGACGUCGUCGUCGUUGAGUGUGAACGCAACGAACACGAUGAACACAACGAACGCGACGGCGAUACAUAUGGAUUUCAAAGACUCGAAUAAAAAGAAACCGGUCAGCAGGGAGACGACCAGCAGCGGCAUGACCGGCGUGGUGACCGCCAGCAGAAUAAAGGAGAAGAAAAAGGACAACCACGCCACGCCAAUGGAGACCAGCGACGAAGAGGCCCAGUCGAUGGACGCUAUCGAAGGCAGCAGACAGAUCGGACCUCACGCCUGCACGGUUUGCCAGAACGCGGUAGAAGGUAGCGCGCAGAGCCGAGCUCUGCCAAGAAGUCAGGCGUCCCAGUACGGGCUGCGAGAGGAUCAGGUAGCACCCGGUGCCCGCGUCUGCAACACCUGCAGGUGCAAAGCAGUUAGGGGACGCUACACCGCGUGUCCUCUGCCUGGUUGCCCGAACCUGAACAACGCCAGUUCUAAGACCAGAGUGAAACGGCUGAGAGCGUUGCCUGCCAAGUGGCUUGAUCUACCUGCUGAGAUUCGUGAUCCGAUCAUUCAAGAGUUCCAAAUACCGAACAACGCAACGAAAUGCUGUUCAGCCUGCUUCAAUCGGAUAUCCCGACGUCUGGCGCCCCAUUUAACCGGUAGCGCCGAGGUCGCUGAAGACACAACCGAUUCCAUGGCUCGGCAAUGGACAGACGAGGAACUCGACCAGCUCAGGAGAGCACUCCGAGAACACGGCACCAACUGGUUGAAAGUCGCCGAGCAAAUACCCGGCAAGACGAACCAUCAGUGCAAGAACUACUACUUUGCGUACCGGAAGAAACUGAGCUUGGACCAAAUGGUCGCUGAGUAUUAUCAGUCUUUGGGCGAAGAGAGGAGACCUUGCUUGACAGACGAGGAAGAGAGCGGUAGCAGUACGAGUAGCUGCGACGAGCUAGCGGUUCAUGACUCGAGCGACACAGCCAGCGCAGGUAGUCCAGCGAAUAACAUGUCGAGUGGAACGCCAGGUACACCGGGUUCUUCUACAAAUUUGCCUAUAUCUUUCUCGCGAGCGACCGAUCAGAAGCUUGGCGACAAGCUGGCAGACAUUGCUGUGGUAUCUUUGGUGCCACCGGUGAGCAUAGGUUCGUCGCAACAGUCUUCCACCAGCGGAGGUAGCAACGCUGCUUCAGCUGGCACUAGAGAAGACUACGAUAGCUCGGCCACGGAGACGGCGGACGAGGGUCAGGGAGGCGUCGAUUUAGACAAUAGCAGCGUCGUUGUGACAUUGACCACCGCCAACAAUACGACGCCGCUUCAACAGCAACACCAACAGUCGCACCAGCAGCUACCACCGACGUCGCAUUCGCCCCCCUCAACCACCAGCAACUCAAACCCACUCACCGUUAAAGACCUUAUGCUUGGCGUUAUCGAGAUGCAACUGAAACGCAAUCCCAACAGCCCAGCCAGUACAGGUGGUUCCUCGGUGCCAGUGAACUCUGGUACGCCAACGAUAUCUAGUAUACUGAAGACAGAUCACCGGAACGAUAUCACUUUUGUGAGGGAAUACAAGCCGUCGAGUUCUAUGGCAAACACGACCAUGUCUAGGGAUUCGAAUUUGGCAACUCUGUCGGUGGUAUCCGGUCCCCAUCACGGUCCCCAUCGUUCCGCACCUAGUCCCCAACAACUUGAUACUGUUUCAGCCCAAAUGCAAGCAACAAUAACCCCUUGUCCUCCAGCGGCAUCAACCAGUCAGUCUUCGUCCUCGGAUCUGAUUCCAAAGGAAGGGCUGAUCGUGAUGCAAGUUCAACAAGCGCUUCGUGAGACGGAAGGCACGCUGGACCUGAGUAUUAAGAAGCCAAGGCAACAACAAGAAUAUAACCAUUCCUUGACGAUUCACAAGCCGCCAACGGUUGCCCUUUACCGGCCAGAACCUCCUCCAGGUGCUUACUACCAUCCUCACGCUCAUCCAGAGCAAAGUCGUGGGGCGAAGAGUCCAUUGGUUUAUGCUCCUUCGCCGCGACCACAAGCGCCACUUACACCGAAAAUGAAUAAGGUUACCGUGCCACCGCCACACCCGAAAUUAUCUCCAAAAUUGAGCACUAUAGGAACGCCUGGACACAAGAGUGGCUCCAUCACGCAUGGUACACCGGUCUCCAGUACACGUUAUGACGGUCUUCUCAGACAAAUGACGCCCCCAGGAAAUCCUGGCAAUGCUCCUGGGACACCGAACGUUGCCAGUGGUGCGAGUGCGGUGAAUGCCCCCAGUAAUCAAGGACCCAAAGAGACAGGUUCGAUAACCCAAGGCACACCGGUCCAUCCCUUCGCGGUGGAUAAACGAGCGCCUAUGUAUGACUAUCAUAGAACUAUCAGACACUCGCCCGUGACGACAGGCAACAUUCCCGGACAGGGCCAGAGUCAAGCAGGAACCGCGGCGGUAGUAGUGACGCAUAGCAAUCAAUACAAUUCUUACCCCAGUCGACCACCGCCGAGUUAUACGAUGGAACAACAGUUAUCCUCGCGACAGAUCAUCAUGAACGACUACAUAACCAGCCAACAAAUGCACGCGCGCAGUCGGAGUAGCGGCACGUCGGAAGGAGGCAAUAAGAACGAGCCGCCGACGUCGACGAUGUACUAUACUAACACACCACCCCCGCAGUCGCAUACGCAGACGCGGCAAGGAGUCAUCCAGAGGCAUAAUCCUCAGAAACAGAUGCAUUAUCCGCCUCCGCCACCGGGACUGGAAGCUUUUUCCAGUUUAGUGGACGUCGCCGUACAACAACCCAGUCUUCCAGUUCCCCAUCCGCACAGCCAUCCCGCCUCUGUCAGUAGCAGUCACGAGGGUCUUGGCAAGACCAUGGCGGACAGGCUACUGGCCGACCGCUAUGGUGAUAAACAUCGCUUGGCUAUGCAUCAAGCGGAUCACAGAAUGGCGGCGGCCCACCAUCACCAACGAGAUAGAGAAAGAGAACGUGAAUUAGUUCAUAUGCGUGAAAAGGAAGAAUAUAGAAUGCAACGAGAAAAGGAAAUCCAACAGCAGGAGCACAGACUGGCACAACAAAGGGAAAAGGACGCUCAACACGUCGAGCAUAGGCUGUCGAUGCAGCAAAGAGAAAAGGAUAUACAGCACCCCGAACACCGUCUUACCGUCCAUCAACAGAGAGAGAAGGAACUUCACCAACAAAUGGCUGCAGCCGCUGCUCAGAGGGAGAAGGAACAUCAGGAGCAUCGAUUGGCCGUGCAACAGCAGAGAGAAAGAGAUAUGCAUAUGCAGCAGCAGCAACAACAACAACAACAACAGCUUAUACAACAGCAGCAUAUACAACAGCAACAGAGAAUGGAGGCUGAAAGGAGGCAUAUAGCUCAAAUGUAUAGAGACCAGCAGCAGCAACAGCUUGAUAGGGAUGCCAGCAGGUUAAUGAGCAGUGGAUUCACUCAAUCUUCGAGACUUCAACAACCACAACAAUCUCAACAACAGCAACAGCAGCAACAACAAUCGUCGUCUCGACAGAGUCAAUCCUCGAACCAGCAGCAGAACGAUUCAGCGUCUACUUUAACUGCUGCCAGUCUAAUAGAUGCUAUCAUAACUCAUCAAAUUAAUCAGAGCGUGGAUAACACUGGCGGUAAUUCGCAGCCUCAACGACCAGGCGAUCGUCUUUUCCAGGGAUUCCAUCGGGAAGCUCCGGCAGAACCUAAUGGGAUGGCACAUAGUCCUGCGGGUGAAGGUAACGGAGGCAACAGUGGUACUGGUGGCGCCAGCGGUAACGGAAGUGGAAAUAAGCCGAUUACUCUUGGCGAGCACGUAGAUCACAUUGUCUCCAAAGAUUACGGUCCACCGCAUCCCUCCUACAGAUCGUAUAGCGGGUACCAAAUCUCGGAAGACCAAUGGAAAAGACGAAAAGCCAAUGAGUCUGAUUCCAUAAAAGCUGGAGACGAGCGUCAGAUAAUCCGCGUCACUCAGCAGCAAUCACAGCAGCAGCAACAACAACAACAACAACAACAACAACAACAACAGCAACAGCAACACCAGCAGGCAGCGUCUUCUGUAGGAAAGCAACAAUUUCACUCUGUCGAACCCGUGUCACCACCGGAAGCGGGUACCAAUCAUUACGGGCGUCGCUUAUAUGAAACAACCACUGCCACAUCGACUUCCGGAACCCCUUCCAACAAGCCUCAUCUUUCGCCGUUGGAUUACGUGAAGAACAAGAUCGUUGAAGUAAUGCGUACAUCCGAAGACGAUAAAGGUGGUAACGCAGGGGACAGGAACGGAGGGAACGUUGCCAGUGGAGAAAAGGACGAGAAGAUAGGAGGGAACAUCGAGAGCCCUUCCGGCGCAGAGAUGAUGGUCGACGGGACACCGAAUCAAAAUCCCCAACCACCCGCGCCAGCUCCUACAACCACCUUCUAUCCAUUCAGUGCGUUAGGAGUGCACACUGGUCCGCCGCCAGCACCACCACCCCCGACUUCCGGUUCCGCUUCCGUGACUAAAUCCGAACAAAUGCAAGCCGAGCCGGCGCCGUUGCUUUCAGCUCAGUACGAACCACUUUCUGACGAGGAUUGAUAGUCUAAUAAUUUAGCCACGUACAGAUCGACACGCUGUGACAAAGUUUCUUAGGGUAUUUAUGCACUUUGUUUAUCUUGACGAGAGUCUCACGCAGACGUCGAUAAACGAUUGAACGUUUCACGAUUAGCAAUGUUUGUCGGGCGUUACCCGUCGCCGUUCUUACUGAUCGUCAGGUUUUGAUCGCAUUGAGGAGAUUCAGUUUUUUUCCCUAUUCAUUUCGUUCAUUUCUUUUUCUUUUCGUUUUUUCACUUCUGUCCUACUUUAUACCCUCCCCACUCCUCUGCACAUCCUACCUAUCACAUUUUUAUUCAUAAAUUCGCAAACGGAGAUUAUAUAACAUGAUGAUUUGUUUUACAUACAGUUUAUUAUUUUAUAAAUUUCGUAUUCCCAUUAUAUUUUUAGCAAGAAAUCGCUGUCCUCGCUCCCCCGCGCAGUACGCAAAACGAUCGAAACGUUUUACGAGAGCAAUGUUUUAAUGAGACGCGCCCGCAUAUCGCGAAAUUGUCUUCGUUUAAACGUAAAACCGUAGCGUAAUUUUAAACAAUAAUUAAUAUUUUUUUACGCAUUACAUAUCGUCAUAUUGACACGUAAUAAAAAGGAAAUAUGUACUGUCCCGGCUACAUCGAACGCUCUGUUAUAUUCACAUCUCUGUUACUACUUCGUUUGAAAGAAGCGCGUUCCAAGCAUACUCAGAAUGUGAGUGCCAGAGAUACGAGGAAUUUUAAUUUUCGUUGCUUUUAGAAACGAUGAUAUCAGAACCAUUGCCGCAAACUCGAUAACGAAAAUUACUAAAUGUUCUGUACGAAUUUUCACGUAUCGUUAUGUGUAUAUGUGUGUGUGUGUUUUUUUUUUAAAUACAAUCGAAUUUAGAAACAACAAAAACGAUACAGCGAUGUCGGUCAGAAGAAAUUCUGUUCUUUCAUGAUUUUCCCUUUUUUUCGAUACGUCGAAUACCCUCAAUGCGUUGACAACCUUCGAAGGUCACAUACUGUUUUCGCGGUUCAUAGAAAUGUUUUCGAUCGACGCCGGAGUUGCGUCUCAGAUGAUCCACACUCACGAUAUAGACGUCGACCCGUGGAACGUCCAGGCUAGCCCAAAUUCACAAAUGGAGACGCUUCUUUUUGUACAUAAAUGAAAAUGUAACCGUUAAAGAAUGAUGAAACUUUAAAGGCAUACGUGUUUUUAUUUUGGAAUGAGUCUGUGAUGUGUCUGGGAUUAAAGUAGCCUGAACCGUAGCAUCAGUGCGAAGAAGAGAGUGUGUAAGUUUCCGAAAAGUCCGCGGCGAGCCCGACGCGGACGAGAAAUGGUGUGUGCGCGUGCGCGCGCGCAUGCGCGCGGACAGUGGAAUGGCACCGUUCUGACGAGAAUCGCUUUCAAAUUGUUCUCUCUCCUUGGUGAAGUGGGUUUUAAGUGAAAAAUGAAAAAAAGUGUAAUUCUAAGUGUUGUACAUAGUACACAAUAUUAAUUUUUAAGUUGAGCUAGUAGGUAUAUGAUGGCUAGUUUAUCGUAUGCUAUUGUAAGAAUCUAGAUUAUAGCGUAAGUGAUGUAGCUAGCAUUUAGGGGAUAGACGCCAUGAACUGACUAUGGGAAUACUUCCCGAACUACGUUCUCUUAUCGAUGAAGAUAAUGCGGGCGAUCGAGGGACGAUGUGUCAAUGUCGUCCUCGGGCGAAUAGAUACGAUUUUAUUUGAUUAAAGAAAAAAAAAAGUAACUUUCUGAAACCCGAAUGUACGCUCUGACUAUCAUGAAUAAGUUUAAUCACACUCACAUGUAUACAUGCGCGAUGACACAAUUUAACAUACACACGUGACACUGGUAUAGACAACAUUAUACAUACAAGACACAACACGUUCACAUGGAAACGCAUUGGAAGAGAACAACACACGUGUACAAGUAAAGAAUUUUUAUAUAGCCUAAUUUUAUAUUUGUAUGCAAACGUAAGUUGAACCGUGCGAUCUGCUCCUUUGUUUAGUCAUUCGGAUACCCGACAACCAACCAACACCGUGCUUUUUAACCGCAACAUCGCUGCACCCGAAAAUCAGGCGGGGAUAGGCGUGAAUGGAAACGAAAGGGGACGUAGGAAAAACCGGGAAACGCACUGAAACGCGACCACUGGGCGGCUGUGGACCUUUCUGCGAAGUCAUAAUGUUAUUAGGCCAGUUUACGAGAGGAACGAUUCAACACAGAAGUUCAUCAUUUCCGUGAACAGAACUUGGUGGGACAAAGAACGAUAAAUGAGUCGACACAUUGUUCGACGUUUCAUCCGUAUGCCGGAAUUUCUUCUUCAUUACCGUCGCAACCUUGUGUCUGUGUCGUUUAACCGUUCCGCUGACGUCACUGUGUGCAUGCAGUGGUCUUACAAUGUGGUCUCCCGAUUUGCGCGCACGUACACGGCGACACACCAGUAACAUGUACAGAGCGUUCCAUAGCAUGCGGGACACGUGUAAACGACGAAUCGCACACGAAGAGCGUUUUUGCGUAUCUUACCUUAGGUUAACACGAAAUGUUUGUACAAUGUUACUUCAUUUUUUUCAUUUUCUAACAAUUGCUUAGAGAGAAUAGUCGAUAGACUGUGGAUUUCCAUGCAUUUAUGUCAAAAAUGAUUAGGUUUAGGCUUUAAAAAAAAAGAAAAUGGAAAAGAUUCAAAGAAACUGAGAGUGUAUGAAUUAAUUUGAGAAAUUUAUACUUGGAUCUUAUUUCGCAUAAACGUCCACAGUCUAGUCGUGAUAUAUUGAAUACAAACAGAAAUGUUUCUCGGUAUUUUUCGGCAAGCCGGAGUAGGUCCCGUGAUGUUUUUGAGACAGCCUGUGUACAGGAUGAUUCCAGAAACUGCGACAAGAUAUAACUAUUUUUCGAGUAGAAAUAGAAAAUGGUAAAAUAACGGAAGAAAUCGAAUAAUCAAGGAAUCAAAUUUCUGUGAUAAAAUUUGGUCUUGCAAAGUGCAACCACGCACAAAGCAACGUACAGUCGCACCGUUUCGUUCGGUCUGUUCUUCUAGAUUAUCCGAGUAGAGAGUGUAUUUAAGGCAACGAGACCGAGGAGAUUUCGAAUUCUCGUGGCCGUUUUGUACUUGUUUUCUUUUUCUUUUUUUUUCACGUUUCUCACAUCAUUCGGUUAUCGAACGCUUGCAAUUAGCCAAUUGGUUUCAUCUCUGCCGUUCAAAAGUCACCAGUUAUCGAAACAGAACGCAGCAAACGAACGUUGUCCUUGCUUAGCAACUGCCUAUCCAACGUGUGUUUACGUUUUAAGAGCCCAAAAUGAGACGGACAUCGAAGAAACCUGAAGCAAAGAACCGAGAUCAAGAAAAUACAGACAGUGUUCAAGUGCUAUUGAAAAACAAAUAUGAAUAAUCAGAUGACAUAAAGAUAUAAAACAACAAGCGUUCAGUUUUUAUUUCGGUCUUCAAUCCUGUUACCUUUGUUAUAUCUUCUUACAGUUUCGAAAUCAUCCUGCAUAUCGGAUUCCGGCGCUGACUUGAACAAGGGAUGCCUCAAGAGGGAUCUGUUUAAAUUCUGACACGCAGUAAGAAACGUCACAUCAAUGUCACGUCAAUCCGCAGUAUAAUGAUCCUCUUAUUGGAUCUAACAGAAAAAUUCAAAUUGGAACGCAGCCCAAAUACAUUGGACAUUAACAAACUGGUAACCAUGUAAAAUUUGAAUUCUUUAAACAGUACCUAAUAUUUGAAAAAAUAGCGGGGAGAAAGAGAGAGAAAGAGAGAGAGAGAGAACGAGAGGCGUAAAAGAUGUGAGAAAGGUUGAAGAAUGGGAGACAGAGAGAAUGGAAACACUAGAGACAGAGAUAACGAGAGAGAAAGAGACACACGCAGGCACACGUACACGUACACGACUAUAUCGUUGAUGCAACAAAAGGCAAAUCAUCUAAAAGCUAUAGAAAUUUCUAGACGACAUAACGUAUCGUAAGGCAUCAACCCGUACGCACAAGUCUGUCGAGCGUCAGGAAACGAGCAAUCACUGGAGUUAGGCGAAGUAGCCAAGCCAGAUGAAGCAAAGAGGUCUGAGAAGACAAUUUUGUCGUUAGUGAUAAUCACCUUAGCCUGACCCAUCCGAUAAGAUGCUGAUUUGAUAUUUGUAAUUAUCAUUUCUAUCAUGUCGUGAACUCUCGUGCUUCAGUGUGCCACUGCGGUGCGAAAUCAUUUUAACGCGUCCUGGACAAAUAAGAUGAUCCAACUGUUUUCGCUUCUGUUAAAACUUGCCCAGGUCUAUCGGGUCUGUUCGGAACGUAUUAAAUGUAAAAAUUGAUGUCGCGCCGUAGGGGAGAGACGCGAAGGGAGUAGUUGCUAGGUUCACCCGAUCUCCCACCUUCUCUCGAGAGUUGCAUGGAUAUAGUCGAAACGUUCUCCGGUGUUCGAUGAACCUGUGCGUGCUGGUUCGUAACCCGAUGGAAGAUCGAUGUCUAUUGUUUGGCACUCCUCUAACGCAAACAACUCUGUACAUAUAGAUGAAAGAAAAGUAAACGACAACGCCGAGGUAUUUAGCCUCCUCCCCGUGGAGAAUUGUCCCUCGAACAGUUCUCACGACGGACAGAGACAGAUGACAAACAAAAGUGAAAAGGAUAUGUCACGUGAACAAGUAACAAGAAAAAACUAAAAACACUUAAGGAAAAGCUAAGGAGCGAUAUUACCUACGAACCCGCUAUUAAUGCGAUUCAUUCAGAUAAAUUAACUAAAAUUAAUAGCGAGCGAGAGCAUACCCCGCCUACAGUAACUACAGGUAUAGCAUACACGGUAAUAUGAUUAUCAAAACAGUUCAAUGUAAAUUGUUAUUUUUGUUGAAAUAAAAAUCACCUCCGUUAUAAUAACUAGCAACCCCCCCCUACCCCACCCCGCUCCACCCCUUAGCCCGCCGCAUCCACCCUUGCAUCUCACUCUUGAUAAUAUGAACCUGCCACAAAAGGAUAUACAGAGCGUACAUUAGAUUUCAAGAAAACAACCGGGCUAUAUUUGAAUGCUUUUCGAUUCGAGUGUUCGGGCUUCGAAGAAUUCGCCGGCUGACACGUUUCGGCUAAACAAUUUUUACGUUCAUGUCGCUUGGAUUAUCGUUAGAAAUCGGCGAUCAUCGGUGACUGUUGAGGUCAAGAUACAUUACAUAGUAAGCGUAAGUGCUCGUUCAAGGUCACUGUUGACCUUCCUUCGUUGCAGUGAAUGUGCGGAAUUUUCAUUUGAAUCUCAAUGUUCGAAGUCGACAAAAAAUCAUGGAUCGUUACUGUACAGUUGAUUGUUCGAAUAGAAUUUAACGAUAUCACUUUUGUUACUGAAAAAUAUGGAAACACAGGACUGAAGAAAUAUAUACAUAUAGUAUAAAUGA
Molecule: non-coding RNA, 15273 nt
Organism: Megalopta genalis
Lineage: Eukaryota; Metazoa; Arthropoda; Insecta; Hymenoptera; Halictidae
Source: RefSeq, a predicted model, not a curated record